CUCUGUCCUUCAAACAAUUAUUAUGUAAGUUUUCACAGAGAUACAUAUACAUGUGUGUUCAUAUGUCUAUGAUCAACAUCUGGGGGAAAUAAAUGUCAAAAGAUGAUGAGAAAUCCAAAUUUGAAUUGUAUAUAGCCUUCACAAUCAAGUAUCAUAAUUUCUUUUAUUCUAAAUCUUUCAUACAAAAAUAAGACAAACAUUUACAUGGCAACAUGAACAUUUUGGAAAAAAUAUUGAAGUAGCUAAUUGUUUUUUUGGAGUUGUUCUGGUACAUCAGGUGAUGUUGAAACAUUUUUUUUUCAAAAUAGAUGCAUAAAAGGAUUUUUUAUUCAAUCAAAUUGACAUUGCUUUCUUUCUUUUUUUUCUUCUUUAUCUUUUCUGGUUUAAAAAGCUUUACCUUAGCUAAAUUCGAAAUAAUCUUGCAAGUAAAUACUAAUGAUUGAAAAGGGAAAACAAAUGUACAACUAUUGCACAAUUAUUACAAAGCAAAAAUUCUAAAUUCAUCUAUAUAUACUAAUAAAUAGAAUAAACCUGGUCCCAGUAGAUUUUUGGUCUGUCUACAUUGAGCUUAUGGACUUGGUAGUCCAAAACAUCUGUCCCAGUCACUACGCGCGUUGCCAGGAGUCAGUGCGCGUCAUCAUCUAGGAAGUCGUAUUUAAAAGUUCAUAAGAUGACAAAUCGCUAUAGGAUCAUGGAGAAUGGUACCACAGAAUAAGGACGUAUAGAGUUAGAUAUCUAAUUCUUCACGCGCGUGGUGAAAAGAUUAUGGAGAACUUAUUACAUUAGACGUAUUUUCAUGUGUGGAUAUGAAAGAACAUUUGAUAAUAUGAGUUAAUACUUGUGUUUUCUAUUGCACACACUUUACGUAAAUAACUUUCUUUUAUAUUUAUAUUCAAUGGCUGUUUGCAUAUAUUGUAGUUAUCAUAUUUUUUUAAUUGUUUGUUUAAAGGUGGUAAUAGGCAGCUUUAGAUUAAGAGAUCAUAUUCAAAGUCGUGACACCAAUGAUAAACUCUCCUACACAAAUUUGGCAUCUGAAUAUUGUAUUAUAGUGAAAUGGGGUUAAGAUAGUUGUUAUUCAUAUUUAUCUGAUUAUAAGCAUGUAUAAUAAAUAUUUAUUAUUCAAAAUCGAAUAUUUGGUUAAAGUUUAAUGUGAAAAAGUCUUGCACCUUUACCAUGGAAAAUCUUUUAUCGCUAUAAUCAUGCCAUGUUCAGGAUUCUCUAUCAUAGAGUUAUGGCAAAUAGGUAUCCUAGACUAUAAAAUGAAUUUAUGGUUUGUUUGGUUUUAAGUAUCCAUUGUGAAAUUUUCGAUUCCUCCGGGUAAAGGACUUUAAACUGUUGAGAAGGAUGACUUGUUACUUGAAUCUCAAUUUGAGACUGUGGCUAUCUAGACUAUGUGUAGGAUUAUUCUCUUCUGAAGUUUUAGAUAGUAUUUUGUGCCUUUUAUGAUAAUCAUAUGGUCAUUCUGUUAUAGAGAGCAGUUUAGGUUGUUUAUAUGUAUACAGAUACAGCUUGCAUUUUAUUUUGUCUAAGCUUCUUUAUAGUCUGUCUUUAUUUAGCUCUAACUGAUCUAGUAUGUGCUGCACAUUUUCUACUGAUAGAGAUACCUAUUUAACAAUUUUCAUGUUAACCAACUAACUUUCAUUAUACUCAACAUUUUCUUGUUUGGAUCGGUCCUUUUAAUCAACAUCAAUGACCUAGGUCAACGUAAGAAUUAUUGCAAAACUAUUUUUUUUUUGCAGGGAUGCAUGCGUCAUACUUUUAGCUAAAGUCAUACUCGUCACAUUUUGUUAUUUGUAUAUUUUAUUAUCAUGGGACAUUAGUUAGAGUGUGUGUCCUCACUUUCUUUUAAUUUAGAGAUAUAAAAGAUAUCCAGUCUCAAUGUUCUUCAUAUAUUUUAGUUUUAUAGUCCUGAAUGGAUUAAAAAUAAUGUUUGGUAAUAAUAUGGUCUUCAUCAAAUAUAUGGGAAAUAGAAGAAAUAAUCCUAAGCGAUGAACUAUUUUAAUAGGAAAACAAACUUGACUUUCUUAAUCUUGCAAUGUAGAGGUCAUUCUAAUUUCAUGCACUGAUGAAUGUUUCAAAGAAGAAUCAAGAAGUGUGACAUUUGAAUAUAAUAUCUAAAAAUAGGUAAUGUACUAGCAAGAUUAUAUCUGAAUAGUUCUUGACAAGGUUAUAAAUUGUUUCUACAGAAUUCAUCUAGCACAUAUUUAGAUUAGUUUCUACUUGUUCAUUUAAAGAUAAUCUUUCCUACACAUAAGACAAUUGUGAAAGUAAUAGAUGUCAGAUUUGUUGUAGAUGAUUUUCUGGCGGACUUAGUGAAUAUGUCCAUUUAUAAAGCGAAUAAACUAUUAGUUAUUUUUCUGUCUAUGAAAAAAUAACAUAAAAAAUGUGGUGCACAUUGAAUAAAGCGCGUAGCUGGUUUUUUUUAAAAAGUGUGCACCACAUUUUUUUGUUAUUUCUUAUAGGAUAGAAAAAAAUAUUACCGUCAUUUCUUAUAAUUUUAUUCUAAACUCCAUUUUAACCAGAGUAAAUAAUAAAAAAAAAACGUUGAUGACGUCACAGUCACAUAACAAAAUUAUGUCUAUGAGCUGAUAUACAAAACACUUUCAGUCAAUCAGAAGAUGUGAUACAUCCAAAAUUAAUUUAUUGAGAAAUGAAUAGAUUCACAAAAAGCAGUGGCGGAUCCAGGGGGGGGGGGGGUUCCGGGGGUGCGCACCCCCCUUUAUUUUGCCGAUCAAUGCAUUUGUAUCGGGACAUAUGUUUUGCCCCCCCCCCCCCUGCACCCCCCCCCUUUGCCCUGGGUUAGCACCCCCCCUUUCGAAAAUUCCUGCAUCCGCCCCUGAUAAGGAAGUCUUAACAUUGAUAAAUGAACCCUGGAAAUGAUUUCAAAAGGUCAGAUAAUUCCUGUAAGACAUACAUUUACACCAUUACUUACGAUUAUUCUAACCCCUGAAUAUAACCAGCUGAUAACUGACUAUUCCUGAAGUUGAUCCAGAGUUUAAGUCAGAGGAACAUUGUUGAACAUUGUAAUGAUUUUAUAUAAUGAAGCUGCCAUUUUACUUCUUGUAGGUGAAAACUCAUGUGAUAUAAACUAUAAAGCUGCCAUUUUACUUCUUGUAGGUGAAAACUCGUGUGAUAUAAACUAUAUUUUAAAGCAGUCACAGUGAACCUCAAAAAUGUGGUCAAGGAAAAGACAAAGGCAAGAUUGAAGGUCAAACCAAGGACUUGUAUAGUGAGAUAUACAAAUCCUUGGCCAAACUAUUUAUCAUCUACAUACAAUAUAUGGUGCAUGCUUAUUUUUGCAUAUGGUCUAGCAUCACCAUAGAAAUAUAUACAGAGAUUGGCAACCCCAUCCAUAUAAUCUAUAUGAAGCCAUUCAGUGAUAAUUAUAUUUAGAACUUAAACAGGACAAGAGUGCACACGCUGAAAUGUCUCGCCUUCUAUACUAAUCAUUGAUAUUAUGUUGAUAGUCCUAAGUAAAAAGCUAAGCUUUAAAACAACUGUACAUAACUUAACAUUAACCAAGAUAACUAAACAAAGACCAAUGAACCUUGAAAAUGAGGUCAAGGUCAGAUGAACCAUGCCAGGCAGACAUGUACAGCUAACAAUGCUUCUAUACAACAUUAUAGUUGACCUAUACUAUAGUUUGAAAAAUAGACCAAAACACAAAACUUAACACUGUGCAAUGAACCGUGAAAAUGAGGUCACGGUCAAAUAAAACCUGCGCGACUGACAUAAAGAUCAUUAAAUAUUUCCAUACACCAAAUAUAGUUGACCUAUGGCAUAUAGUAUUAGAUAAAAAGACCAAAACUCAAAACUUAACUUUGACCACUGAACCAUGAAAAUGAGGUCAAGGUCACAUGACAUCUGCCCGCUAGACAUGUACACCUUACAAUCAUUCCAUACAACAAAUAUAGUAGACCUAUUGCAUAUAGUAUGAGAAAACAGACCAAACACAAAAUUGAACUAUAACCACUGAACCAUGAAAAUGAGGUCAAGGUCAGAUGACACCUGCCAGUUAGACAUGUACACCUUACAGUCCUUCCAUACACCGAAUAUACUAGCCCUAUUGCUUAUAGUAUCUGAGAUAUGGACUUGACCACCAAAACUUAACCUUGUUCACUGAUCCAUGAAAUGAGGUCGAGGUUAAGUGAAAACUGUCUGACAGACAUGAGGACCUUGCAAGGUACGCACAUAUCAAAUAUAGUUAUCCUAUUACUUAUAAUAAGAGAGAAUUCAACAUUACAAAAAAUUUGAACUUUUUUUUCAAGUGGUCACUGAACCAUGAAAAUGAGGUCAAGGACAUUGGACAUGUGACUGACGGAAACUUCGUAACAUGAGGCAUCUAUAUACAAAGUAUGAAGCAUCCAGGUCUUCCAUCUUCUAAAAUAUAAGCUUUUAAGAAGUUAGCUAACGCCGCCGCCGUAGCCGCCGCCGGAUCACUAUCCCUAUGUUGAGCUUUCUGCAACAAAAGUUGCAGGCUCGACAAUAAAACCAGAUGCUCCGCAGGGCGUAGCUUUAUACGACCCAGAGGUGAACUGAAGGUUGGGGCAAGUAUGGACACAACAUUCAAGCUGGAUUCAGCUCUAAAUUUGCAUUGUGAUUAAAUAGUUGACACAGCAUAGGUUUCUGACACAGAAUGAAUGUGUUCUAAUGAACUUAAAUUUUUUGUUUUCUCUUAGAGCAAUUCACUAUGCUGUUGAAUAUUAAUCCUCUCAAAAAAAUGUUUGAAGAAAUUUUCUUUUUAUUUAUGAAAUUUCAAAUGAGAAAAAUUGAACCCAAUUUUUUUAAUCACAUCCCCCUUUCCCUUAUUCCAAAACUAAUCUCAAUUGAAAUUUCUAAUGGAGUUUGCAACAAUAACUACUCAUUUAAAUACAUCAAAUAUUAAGAUGUAAAAAAAGUGCUUGUUAUCACUGAAUGGUAAAGAUUAUUUUAAUUUAUCAGUUGGUAGUAAAAAGUGAAUAUACAUUGUAUAUUGUAUAUAACAAAGAUUUAAGUUGAUUCUGGACAAAGAAAGAUAACUCCAAUUAAAAAAAAAUCUUGCUAUUGCACAAUAUUUUGCAAUUAGAUAUUUCUUGCUUACUAUUCUGGACAAAGAAAGAUAACUCUAAUUGAAAAAAAAAUUGCUAUUUCACAAUAUUGUGCAAUUAGAUAUUUCUGGCCAUUGCGCAAUACUGUGCAAUUGAAAAGACUUGCUAUUGCACAAUACUUAAUAUAAUAAUUUUAGAUCCUGAUUUGGACCAACUUGAAAACUGGGCCCAUAAUAAAAAAUCUAAGUACAUUUUUGGAUUCAGCAUAUCAAAAGAACCCAAGAUUUCAAUUUUUGUUAAAAUCAGACGAAGUUUAAUUUUGGACCCUUUGGACUUUAGUGUAGACCAAUUUGAAAACAGGACCAAAAAUGAAGAUCUACAAACACAGUUAGAUUUGGUAUAUUCAAAGAACCCCAUUUAUUCAAUUUUUUGAUGAAAUCAACAAAGUUUAAUUUUGGACCCCGAUUUGGACCAACUUGAAAACUGGGCCAAUAAUCAAGAAUCUAAGUACAUUUUAAGAUUCAGCAUAUCAAAGAACCUAACUGAUUCAUUUUUUGUCAAAAUCAAACUAAGUUUAAUUUUGGACCCUUUGGACCUUAAUGUAGACCAAUUUGAAAACGGGACCAAAAGUUAAGAAUCUACAUACACAGUCAUGACAGUUAGAUUCGGCAUAUCAAAGAACCCCAAUUAUUCAAUUUUGAUGAAAUCAAACAAAGUUUAAUUUUGGACCCUUUGGGCCCAUUAUUCUGUUGGGACCAAAACUCCCAAAAUCAAUACCAACCUUCCUUUUGUAGUCAUUAACAUUGUGUUAAAAUUUCAUUGAUUUCUAUUUACUUAAACUAAAGUUAUUGUGCAAAAACCAAGAAUAAUGCUUAUUUGGGCCCUUUUUUGGCCCCUAAUUCCUAAACUGUUGAAACCAAAACUCCCAAAAUCAAUCCCAACCGUUCUUUUGUGGUCAUAAACCUUGUGUCAAAAUUUCAUAGAUUUCUAUUAACUUAAACUAAAGUUAUAGUGCGAAAACCAAGAAAAUGCUUUAUUUGGGCCCUUUUUGGCCCUAAUUCCUAAAAUGUUGGGACCAAAACUCCAAAAUCAAUACCAACCUUCCUUUUGUGGUCAUAAACCUUGUGUUUAAAAUUUCAUAGAUUUCCAUUCACUUUUACUAAAGUUAGAGUGCGAAAACUAAAAGUAUUCGGACGACGACGACGACGACGACGCAGACGCCAACGUGAUAGCAAUAUACGACGAAAAAUUUUUCAAAUUUUGCGGUCGUAUAAAAAAACAAUGAAUCGGAAAGAACUUUAUUUAAACAUUUACAGUAAAUUUUGAGUUGUACAACAUGAGUUUUGGUAUAGUUAAUUUUGAGAUGUACAACAUCGGUUUUUAGUAUAUAUAAUAAAAACAUUACAAUAUAAUAACAUUGUAAAGAGCUUGUACAAUGCAUAAAAUAUAAUAUACAUUAAUAAUGCAUCUCAUAAGGAGGUUGGCCUUGGGUAGGGGACAUAACUCUUAAAAUCACUAGUGCGUUUGUAUUAGACAUGUUCAUCAAUAUAUUUUAAGCUUUUAUCUAAUACAGAUUACUAUAAUUCUAUUUCACAUGAGUGCUUGAAACACAAUAAUGAUAAUGGCUGUUACAAACGCAUUACUGAUUUUAUAGUGUUCUCUCCAAUACCUUGCAAACUCCAAAACAGUGGUUAUGUCUGCACAAUAGCAUAUACUUAAAGUUUAGUGUAGCAACAAUGCAACUGUUUUAGAGUUUUCACACCAAGGUCUAACGCCUGAAGACCACAUAAUUUUUUUAGAUUCUCAACAUCUUCCCAUCAGAUAGAUUUUCUUCAAAAUCUCUGUCCUUCAAACAAUUAUUAUGUAAGUUUUCACAGAGAUACAUAUACAUGUGUGUUCAUAUGUCUAUGAUCAACAUCUGGGGGAAAUAAAUGUCAAAAGAUGAUGAGAAAUCCAAAUUUGAAUUGUAUAUAGCCUUCACAAUCAAGUAUCAUAAUUUCUUUUAUUCUAAAUCUUUCAUACAAAAAUAAGACAAACAUUUACAUGGCAACAUGAACAUUUUGGAAAAAAUAUUGAAGUAGCUAAUUGUUUUUUUGGAGUUGUUCUGGUACAUCAGGUGAUGUUGAAACAUUUUUUUUUCAAAAUAGAUGCAUAAAAGGAUUUUUUAUUCAAUCAAAUUGACAUUGCUUUCUUUCUUUUUUUUCUUCUUUAUCUUUUCUGGUUUAAAAAGCUUUACCUUAGCUAAAUUCGAAAUAAUCUUGCAAGUAAAUACUAAUGAUUGAAAAGGGAAAACAAAUGUACAACUAUUGCACAAUUAUUACAAAGCAAAAAUUCUAAAUUCAUCUAUAUAUACUAAUAAAUAGAAUAAACCUGGUCCCAGUAGAUUUUUGGUCUGUCUACAUUGAGCUUAUGGACUUGGUAGUCCAAAACAUCUGGUCCCAGUAGAACUAAGGUCAGUCUACAUUGAGCUUAUAUUUGUACAGACUUGAUUGUCCAAUAAGAUA
RNAcentral lists this long non-coding RNA (7531 nucleotides) under Mytilus galloprovincialis (Mediterranean mussel). The record is from RNAcentral. Lineage: Eukaryota; Metazoa; Mollusca; Bivalvia; Mytilida; Mytilidae.